Molecule: long non-coding RNA, 5099 nt
Organism: Haliotis rubra (blacklip abalone)
Lineage: Eukaryota; Metazoa; Mollusca; Gastropoda; Lepetellida; Haliotidae
Exons: 6
Source: RefSeq, a predicted model, not a curated record
AUUUAAUUUCAGUUCUACUACGCACCACCGUUUGUAAACACAUGUACAACAAUGCUGUUGGUGGAAGAUGAGUCUGGACACUGAGGCAUGUGACAAAUGUAAACAGUACAGUAUAGAAUCCAACAAAAGGUACAGGAUCCUGUGUGUGCAUCUUGAGGUGACUAUUUUCAAGAGGAGUUGGCACAACAACAAAAUUCAAUACCUCAGUUCAACACAGAAACAGCAUAAGAAAAACGAGAUAAAAAGCUCUGUCUCGGCCCUUAGAAAUUCGGGGGGACAUCUUCUAAUUCACUUAGAUGGCCGGAGUCCACAAGACCUGAGUUUGGAACACCUUGACGACUUCAUCGAUGAUGACCUUCAAGCCAUCAUCAAUGCUGAUGAAACAUUUGAUGAUGUUUAUUACAAAACCACAUUCCAGGAUGAUCGUGAAUUUGUGAUAAUUGACAUUCAGCCUUCACCAACAAUUAUUAUAACGGAUCCUAAGACUAAAUUUAUCAUCGACAAAGGGUUCAUACCAGAUAGUCCACAAGCACUGCAAGUCUUUUUGAAACGAGUAUCAGAGCAGCAAAAUGAUUCAAAAGUUCAUUUAGAGCAAAGAGUACCAGUCUUGAGUCACAUGACAUUAGAAACCAUAACGGAAAAAAGAGAUAUUCAGCUGUAAGGAUUUGUUUUUCAACCAAGUCGGCACGAGAAGAAGGAAACAAUUUUGAGAGACCCAAACCAGUUUGUUGACUACUUGCGGAGCCUGCAUCUUCCUCUCUAUGUCAGUGCUUUUGCAAAACUCAAGAAAGGAGGGUCUUUUAUCCUUGGCACAGAAGAGAAAGAAAAGAAAGUUGAUACCAACAUCAAAGGGAGGGAAGUCCAGUAUUUGUGUAAACAAUUUGAAGUUCGUGGAAUUAAACUGGCUUCAGACAAACAUACUGAGCUCAAGCAAUUAAUAGAGAGGUGUUUGAAAGAUGACAUGUGUCUCAUUGACUACAAGGGAGACAAAUUAGAUUGGCCUGACAGACACAUCAGUGUUGACUUUUACAAAGCCAAUGUAAAAGACCAUACAUUGCUUGAGGUUGUCGUGAAUCCAAUCACAGGAGUAUUGUUUUAUGAUAACAGUGGUCCAGAAGCAUACGAGGUCGUACACGGAGAACCAUUUCUUAAGUAUACUCGAUGUGAGCUCAAGAAAAUAAUCGCAUCAAUAAGGAGACAUUAGAAAGGAAUAUCUACAGAUAUGUCAGGAAAGAUGUUACCAAAUCAAGCAGUUUUACGCGAUGCGAGUAAAGAAAAUUUCUUUUCUGAAGUCCCGAUAGCCACAAGUAAUCCUUUCCGCCCUGCAGUAUAUGCAACUGGAUACUUUUGGAAGAAGAUGUCUGAACGACUUGAAAAUGAUAUCAACCUGCUCCCCGAGGGUACAGGCGAAAGGUGGAAGACGGAAAUGCAAAUCCUUCUUGGUACCUCAAAGAUGGGAUUGAUAUACAUGGGAACAUCGCUUGCAGAGAUGCUAAAUUUGCAGCUGACGGACACCAGCGUGGAAGGAGUUGCUUUUGAUGCCUGUGUAAUCGCAUCGGAUCAACCAGUUCAAAUUCUCUCCUUUGUAAGAAACGACGUAAAAAACACAGACCGUACCCUCAUUCAAAGAAAUGACGAAUUGGCCAAGGGUGUCCUGUAUUCAUUAAUGGAAUUUACUGAUGAAAAGAUUAACAUUGCAAAUGGGGUACUUGAUAUAGAUGAUCUGGGGAACAGAGUAGAUUUUGAAGACAAAAGGAACGCUCUAAUAGAGAAGUCAUGUCGUUAUGUCAAUCCCAGGUCACUUGAAAUGAAUCCCAGGAAUGCAAGAAUUUAUGCAGGGCCUUCUUCGUGGCCUCAGGUGUAGAGCACACGUCCACCCGGACAUCUUCAGACCCAAUAGUCCUGCUAAAGUGGGAUGUCUAUAUGAACAAAUACCUCCAUGAACCAAAGGUACAUGAGAAUCAUGCAGCCAGCGAAACAGGGAAAGAGUUUAUCAAAAGGUUGUCAAACUCAGGCACAACAAUACGUGACGUGAAAAUACCAAAAAAAGACACCACCCCACGCAAUCCUGACUUCCUUGAACAUGAUACCCACUCGGAGAUUUACAUGGAUGGUGAAGAAGUAUCUCAGAAUGAUGGAAAACCUUCUACCGGACAUGUUCCAUUUUUAGAAGAUUCUGGUCGUCAACAAAUGUGGAAUGAAUCCUUGAGGGUUGAAGUUCCAUUGACGGGACUGCAGAGCGUACCGGGUGUGUUUGCCUGAAAUAACAUACAUGUAUGCCAUUGGGAGCCACGACAUUUCUCAAACAUAUUAAAAGAUCCAAAAAUGACUUUGUUCUACAGAGAACGUCAUUCAGUAACUAAUUAUUACUCAAGAUCCCACUCCCCUCGCGUCUCUGUGCACAUGAAUCAGAUUUGGGCACAUUCUAAACCAAGCUAACCCGAACUGAGCCUUUAAAAUAUAUUUUCAACAACAAUGCGACCAUUUUUACAGUGAAACUCUGACCCUGAGAAGUCUGACCACGACCUUCAAGCAUACGUAAACAAAUCAAAACACAAAAAAGAAUCAUAUGGAUUCUACAAAAUAACUAACAUUUUCCAGACGCAUUUGACCCAUCCAGGCCAUAGACCAAGCUGCUAUACAUAAUUUCCUAGCCACUAAAAUUUUUAAAUCAUCAUUUAUCACAUAUCCUGAAUCAGUUUGAGCAAUAACAACACUAAAUACCAGAAGCAAACCUCUCCAAAGAAGCCUGAAAAUCCCCCGCCCACAAUCCCAUACUAUUUCAUCUCACCCUUUCCCUACCCCAUAAAACCUUUUUUUUUAAUGGUCGUCGCCCCUUUUGUACAUCCCCUGGGUCUUUUUCUUUCAAGUAUCCCUAUCUCUCAGGUUAAGACUGACAGAGCUGGUACCCUUCCAGGUUAGUACCCUCGCUGUCAGGGAUUUAGAUCCGUCAGCGUGAUCUACGUGAUACCCAGUGAUUCCUGGAACUAUGUUCACCUUGAAUAUCUUUAUGAUUGUGUGACUAUUUUCCUGUGUAAAUGUUUUUUUCAUGUAUUCUUCACAAAAUUUCUCCAUGUAUCUUUUUGUUGUCGUUUGUCGCCGACCUCCAUGUUUACUUUAUUUGCUAUUGUGUCCUUGCUCUUAGGAGUUUUAUCAAGUAUUAAAUUGAUCUAGGUAGAAUAGUGGAAGUUAAUUAAGCACCCAAAAACAUAUUUGAUCCAUGUCAAUGAUGUCAUUGUUUGUUCACUUUGAAAGGGUUUGCCAAAACGCAGCCGACAUGUAUGUGAAACGUGCUACCCUCUCUUAUCAUGAAAAGCAGUAUCUCUGCCUAGUUGCCGUUCAAGGCUAUAGAAUUUAGGAAUAUGCCAUCCGUUCCAUCCACACACGUCAACAUGCCGAGGAGCAGACUUUCAUUGCGACUGAGACAGACAGUGGGUAUGCAUGCAGCUGGCAUGUCAUUCAAGGCCAUGGGCGUCAGCUUGGGUACUGCCUCUCAUCAGUCGACCUAUUCGGACACACCAACAAACAGGUGCCGUCAAUAUCGACCAAGACCAACCCAGGAAGGCCAUUCCAGCGGAAGGUCACAAUAUGGCCCGUUACGCAAGGCGUCACCAGGCGUCUCACUCUGACUCAUGAACAGAAAAGGCAACGUCAGCAGUGGUGUUUUGCCCGAUGGCGAUGGAAUCCUCGGACCUGGAGAUGAAUCCAUUAGUCAUAUGAAAACAGGUUCCUGCUUUAUGUUACAGAUGGCUGUCUUAGAGUUUGGUAGCGCACUAACAUUGCUCAUUGACACUCCACAUUCAUUCUAGCGUUCCCUUUGGUGGGGGCUCAGUUAUAGUGUGGGGAUGUGUCUCCCAUGACUGUAACUUGACAUUGGUGACUUACGGAGAAAUCUUGGUGACCACCACUACAUUCCGUAAAUUCUGGAUCAAGCUGCUUUGCGUCAUUUUGAUAACCCAUUAGCUACCCGCCCCAUAUAUAUAACACUGGGCCACAUCGUUUCCGUGCUGUGGGAGAGCUAUUAAGACUCUCCCUUGACCUGCAAGGAGACCUGAUCUGAACCCCACCGAGCACAAAUGGGACAUUCUUGGUUGACCUUUGCAGGCAAAGAACCCUCAUGUAACUAAUUCGGGUGCACUGGAGGCAGCAUUGCCUGAAGAGUGGCGUGGAUUGCCCGGGGGACAUAUUCGUAGACUCACUGGUGGUAUGUGGAGGAUGUUAUCCAGGCACGAGACGGAUACACAAGAUACUGGUGUCAGACUCCUCGUUAGAAUAUAAAGGGCCUACACAGUAGCGAAAUCCAGCACUAACCCAUGUCUCAUGCCAGGACAAUACGUAUUCAAUGAAUUGCUUUUCCACAAAAUCAAGAGUGUUGUCCUUUCUCACAUACAGAGCAUACAAAUUAACAUAUUGCGUACAUUUUGUUGUUUUUAUGCGGUCAGUUAUUCAAUCUCCUUCUAGAAGUAUGGAAGUUCUGAUAUCUUCUGUUCAUAUUACUGUUCUAAAACAGGGGAGUGCUUAAUUAAGUUUCAUGUGUAUUUAUAUGCUACCUUAUUCAUGUAUUGAACAUGUUUUUUGUAACUUUGUGUAACUACUUAUUGGUGGAAUUGUACACAUGAAAAAAUGUAUUGCAACACCCCGGAUCUUUCAUAGUAUCAAUAUUUUGCCAUUAACCAUCAUCCAAACCCAAAUUUAACACGCUAUCUGGAUUUAUUGACCAUCUAUGAAUAACUAAAUGGCAAAACUAAAUGCAAGAGAACGAAAAACUGUUGUUCAGUAAGAAGCAAACAAUAUUCAUUUAGAGUGCUUAUUACUAAGGUCGUAUGGUGUUAACAAGUGCGGUCAUUUUCAAUCCUCAAGAAAUCCCAGAAGUAUGAAUAAAAGCAGACAAUGUCUAUAUCUGGUGUAAUCUCCACCAACUGCAAUAACAUCCCUGACUCUCGUCCUCACUGACACGUUGUAUGCAUUAGCGGAUCCAGAGAGAGAGAAGGGGGGUGGGGGGUGUCAGGGGGUUCGACCCCCCUUUUGAAAAUGACCUAAGACCACAUUGACGAUUUUUUUGGCGUUGGCUGAGCCAAAUUGGGGGUUCAGGGGUCCUG